This 474-nucleotide ribosomal RNA is filed under the name uncultured bacterium. RNAcentral describes it as "bacterial SSU rRNA". It matches the Rfam family "Bacterial small subunit ribosomal RNA", at positions 28 to 518 of the family's 1533-position model. The record is from RNAcentral.
GAUGAACGCUGGCGGCGUGCCUAACACAUGCAAGUCGAGCGAAUUGUAUCCUUCGGGGUGCAGUUAGCGGCGGACGGGUGAGUAACGCGUGGGUAAUCUGCCUUUUACUGGGGAAUAACUGUGAGAAAUCACAGCUAAAGCCGCAUACGGUCCUUGAAUCGCAUGGUUUAAGGAAGAAAGAUUUAUCGGUAAAAGAGGAGUCCGCUUCCGAUUAGCUAGCUGGUGAGGUAACGGCCCACCAAGGCGACGCUCGGUAGCCGACCUGAGAGGGUGACCGGCAACAUUGGGAGUGAGAAACGGCCCAAACUCCUACGGGAGGCAGCAGUGGGGAAUAUUGCACAAUGGGCGAAAGCCUGAUGCAGCAACGGCGCGUGAAGGAUGAAGGGUUUCGGCUCGUAAACUUCUUUAGGCAGGGAAGAACGCAAUGACGGUACCUGCAGAAUAAGCCCCGGCUAACUACGUGCCAGCCGCCGC